Molecule: small RNA, 510 nt
Filed under: uncultured fungus
Lineage: Eukaryota; Fungi
Description: eukaryotic LSU rRNA
Rfam family: 5.8S ribosomal RNA (bases 212-366)
Source: RNAcentral
GGAAGGAUCAUUACAGAAUUGUCAACGGGUUGUUGCUGGUCCUCAAACGGGGACACGUGCACGCUCUGUUUACACAUCCACUCACACCUGUGCACCCUCUGUAGUUCUACGGUCUGGGGGACCCUGUCUUCCUGCCGUGGUUCUACGUCUUUACACACACACUGUAAUAAAGUCUUAUGGAAUGUAUGCCGCGUCUAACGCAAUACAAUACAACUUUCAGCAACGGAUCUCUUGGCUCUCGCAUCGAUGAAGAACGCAGCGAAAUGCGAUAAGUAAUGUGAAUUGCAGAAUUCAGUGAAUCAUCGAAUCUUUGAACGCACCUUGCGCCCCUUGGCUAUUCCGAGGGGCAUGCCUGUUUGAGUAUCAUGAACACCUCAACUCUCAUGGUUCGCCGUGAUGAGUUUGGACUCUGGGGGUUUUGCUGGCCUGUGGUCGGCUCCCCUCAAAUGAAUCAGCCUCCCAGUGUUUGGUGGCAUCACGGGUGUGAUAAAUAUCUACGCUCGCAGUUGU